RNAcentral lists this ribosomal RNA (253 nucleotides) under uncultured bacterium. RNAcentral's name for it is "partial 16S ribosomal RNA". It matches the Rfam family "Bacterial small subunit ribosomal RNA", at positions 524 to 776 of the family's 1533-position model. The record is from RNAcentral.
UACGUAGGGGGCGAGCGUUGUCCGGAUUUACUGGGCGUAAAGAGCGCGUAGGCGGCUCGUUAAGUCGGCUGUGAAAGCUCCCGGCCCAACCGGGAAGGGUCAGCCGAAACUGGCGAGCUUGAGGGCGGUAGAGGAAGGUGGAAUUCCGGGUGUAGUGGUGAAAUGCGUAGAUAUCCGGAGGAACACCGGUGGCGAAGGCGGCCUUCUGGGCCGUACCUGACGCUGAGGCGCGAAAGCGUGGGGAGCGAACUGA